This 869-nucleotide ribosomal RNA is filed under the name Physisporinus sp. 1 RS-2021. Its description in RNAcentral is "partial 28S ribosomal RNA". It matches the Rfam family "Eukaryotic large subunit ribosomal RNA", at positions 78 to 933 of the family's 3401-position model. Lineage: Eukaryota; Fungi; Basidiomycota; Agaricomycetes; Polyporales; Meripilaceae. The record is from RNAcentral.
CCCUAGUAACUGCGAGUGAAGCGGGAAAAGCUCAAAUUUAAAAUCUGGCAGUCUUUGGCUGUCCGAGUUGUAUUCUAGAGAAGCGCUUUCCGUGCCGGACCGUGUACAAGUCUCUUGGAACAGAGCGUCAUAGAGGGUGAGAAUCCCGUCUUUGACACGGACUACCGGUGCUUUGUGAUGCGUUUUCAAAGAGUCGAGUUGUUUGGGAAUGCAGCUCAAAAUGGGUGGUAAAUUCCAUCUAAAGCUAAAUAUUGGCGAGAGACCGAUAGCGAACAAGUACCGUGAGGGAAAGAUGAAAAGCACUUUGGAAAGAGAGUUAAACAGUACGUGAAAUUGCUGAAAGGGAAACGCUUGAAGUCAGUCGCGUCGUUCAGAACUCAGCCUGGCUUUUGCUCGGUGCACUUUCUGAAUGACGGGCCAGCAUCAAUUUUGACUGUCGGAUAAAGGCCAGAGAAAUGUGGCUCCUUUGGGAGUGUUAUAGUCUCUGGUUGCAUACGAUGGUUGGGAUUGAGGAACUCAGCAUGCCUUUAUGGUCGGGGUUCGCCCACGUUCAUGCUUAGGAUGCUGGCGUAAUGGCUUUAAACGACCCGUCUUGAAACACGGACCAAGGAGUCUAACAUGCCUGCGAGUGUUUGGGUGGAAAACCCGAGCGCGCAAUGAAAGUGAAAGUUGGGAUCCCUGUCGUGGGGAGCACUGACGCCCGGACCAGACCUUCUGUGACGGAUCCGCGGUAGAGCAUGUAUGUUGGGACCCGAAAGAUGGUGAACUAUGCCUGAAUAGGGUGAAGCCAGAGGAAACUCUGGUGGAGGCUCGUAGCGAUUCUGACGUGCAAAUCGAUCGUCAAAUUUGGGUAUAGGGGCGAAAGACUA